AACGAACGCUGGCGGCAGGCCUAAUACAUGCAAGUCGAACGCUCCAGCAAUGGAGAGUGGCAGACGGGUGAGUAACGCGUGGGAACCUUCCCAGUGGUACGGAAUAGCUCAGGGAAACUUGAGGUAAUACCGUAUACGCCCUUCGGGGGAAAGAUUUAUCGCCAUUGGAUGGGCCCGCGUCGGAUUAGCUAGUUGGUGGGGUAAUGGCCCACCAAGGCGACGAUCCGUAGCUGGUCUGAGAGGAUGAUCAGCCACACUGGGACUGAGACACGGCCCAGACUCCUACGGGAGGCAGCAGUAGGGAAUAUUGGACAAUGGGCGCAAGCCUGAUCCAGCCAUGCCGCGUGAGUGACGAAGGCCUUCGGGUUGUAAAGCUCUUUUGGCGGGGACGAUAAUGACGGUACCCGCAGAAUAAGCUCCGGCUAACUUCGUGCCAGCAGCCGCGGUAA
RNAcentral lists this ribosomal RNA (449 nucleotides) under uncultured bacterium. Its description in RNAcentral is "partial 16S ribosomal RNA". It matches the Rfam family "Bacterial small subunit ribosomal RNA", at positions 29 to 523 of the family's 1533-position model. The record is from RNAcentral.